CCUGUACUUGGGCACCAUCCCUAGCUUGUACACUGAAGGGGGAAUCCACAGCUGGACACAUUUACCAGGUCCUGCCACCUUCUCCAUCUUAACUGAGCAGAAAAGAAGAGUUGGGGCUGUUUUUCCACAGACAAAAGGCAGGCUGAGGACAUGGGGGGCAAGGACCAUAGGGUCCUGCUCCGUUUCAAAAGGACCCGCGUGGGGGACACAGGGAGCCGACACUUGCGUUCCUAGGGGCCCUUGGUGUGUGGGGGGGAUCUGCACCCCUCCGUCAAGUGCAGGGGCAUCUGGAGGUGCUUCUGCCCCGACAGCCCCCCACAUAGGCGCUCCGGCACCUCUGAGCUCCUAAGGGCCCUAGAGGAGCUCCUCAACGCAUCCGCAACCUUCCAUGACCGCUUCCAACACGAUGCGGAUCGCCACCUGCCUGAGACAAGAGGCUUGAAGCUCCCGGCCUAAGCACCAGCGGAAGAACUUGCUUGAAGCAAGCCCAGGGAGCUCAAUGACAGCCCCGCCCCUCACCCUCCUCGGCCCGCCCCUUCCGCCCCCUGGGGCGGGGCUAAGAGCGGCUUGCCCCGGAAGUCCGGAACUGAGCCGGAAAUUAAGCGCCGCUGGGCGCUGCUCCUCCCUCCUUCGGCGCGCGACAGCGUCCUGGUUUUCCGCACCCGAAUUUGGAUGUUCACUCCCAACUCUUACGAGGUCCUGAGUCCCCACCCCAUUUCUCCAGCCCAAUUUCAGCUGCAAAUUACUGCAGAACCUGAACCCAGGAAAGGAACCUAUUUCCCGCUCCGGUCUGCCCCUCUCCGGACCCGGCGAGGCCCAGGUGAGGUUCUCGCCCGCUUUCCAGCCUCACCUUCCACACUCCCCUGCCCGUCCCCCGGGGUUCCUCCGCCGCCCGACCAUGGCCCAGAAGCCGAAGGUAGACCCCCACGUCGGCCGGCUGGGAUACCUGCAGGCGCUGGUCACGGAAUUCCAGGCGACCGAGAGCCAAGACGCCAAGGAGCAAGUACUGGCCAACCUUGCCAACUUCGCCUAUGACCCCAGUAACUACCAGUAUCUGCGGCAGCUGCAGGUCCUGGAUUUAUUCCUCGAUUCACUGUCGGAGGAGAAUGAGACCCUGGUGGAGUUUGCUAUUGACCUCUCCAGCCCCAGCGAGGACUCUCAAAGUGAAGUUCCUGGGGCGCUUCGGUCCCCAAAUCAGAGUCUCAGGUAGAGGACUUUGUUCAGGGGUAAGUACUCCCCCAGACUGUCUAGUCCUGAGGUGAACUGUGGAUUCUGAAGUGAGAGCUUUGUUAAUUUUAAACAGGAAGGUGUCACUGGACAUGGAGCAGAGACAGUUCUGACCCAAGGGGAGGUCUCCCCGCUCCCAGGUGUCCUGUGGGGUCGGGGCUCCCCGCUCCAGGGCGGCCCCGCGCUGCCGCCCCCCCGCUCCCUACCGCCAGGUCCGGGCGCAGGGCUCGGUACUGCUCGCAGGCGAGGAAGCCGCGGCGCUCCUGCAGCGGCACGUACGGCUCCCGGGGGAAGCUUCGGCGGAAGCCCCGCAGGAGGCCGGCCUCGAAAUCCGCCAGAACGCCGUCCAUGUCCACCAGCACCCGCACUGGCCGCCCGCGCCGCGCAGCCAUCUGCACCGCCAUCGCAGCUAGGCAGGCGGCCCGGCGGAAAUGUGGCCCCGGGAGCCGCCGCGCGGAGCUGGGCGAGGGGACUGCAGCUUCCGGAGCCGUGGGGUGGGCGGGCCCGACUGCGGCUGAUUUGCAUGGGCAGCCCCGUUUCGGGGGGGUGGGGGGCGGCGUGGCGAUGGCUUGGGCUGCUUUCUGGUCUGAGAACGCACCUACGUGCACAUCAGCAGCCUUCCACGCUGUAGCAGACGUCCUCGCUCACCCCGAAUGUUACUCGGGGCAGAACUUCCAGGGGCCCGACAGGAGGGACUAUCCUAAAUACUGGGAAGCGUCGUCUAACAAGGAGUCAGGCCUCCUUAAACCUGAGACGCCAUACCUGCGCACCCUGCUGUGGGGACCGGAGCAGAGCUUCCGCCCCGUCACGGCAGCACCAACCCACGGCCCGAAUCACGGGGACUCCCAGUAACGGUUAGAAGUGAAUGAAUCUGCUGAAGACAACUGGUUCGUGUGAGCAGAGCUCCUCAGAGACGAGUUCAUAAACCAGAGUUGGCGUGAAACAUGGGAGCAUCUGCUUUAAACAUCCAGUUCCACCUGGAAGAGGCGAUUUUUCCACCAGGCUCAGGCAGCAAGGCAUGGGGCGCAGGCCUCUGUCGCUCCAUAUGGCACAGGAAGAUGCUUUUUGCAACGGCACUGACAAGUUAGGGCAACACCAGGUAGGUUCAGCAUCAAGACACCCUUGUUUGGGGGGCCUGAAGGGACAGCGCCUGUGGACCGUUUACUGGCCUGUCCGAUCCAGGCUUGGUAAACCCUAGUAAAGCUGACAAGAAAAGGGUUUUAAAAACCUCAGUACAAAAGAUCCUCUAACACAUUUGAAACCAAUUUAUCUGUUCUUAAAAACACGGUACUAAGUGUCACAAAGCUUUCCCUCCAAUCUACUACUAGAAAACACUCAUGCCAAGGCCUAUAGACCCAGAGGAAUCAGGACAGACAGAGAACCUGUUCUUCCAAAAUAAAAAAAGACAGCAGUACAUAAAGUGCUUCUUUUUUAAUGAAACAAAUCCAAAACAUGUACAGUCAGGCUCAAGUUGUGCAGUUCACAAGCAUGGAGAAAACAAAGAAACGAAACGACAGAGUUCAGGGCAGACGGAGCUAACCCAGGACGAGGCUGGACUUGCCACCAGGGGGGUUUCUCCGGGAUGGCACGGGCGCCGGUGCCACUGGGCUGGGCACAGGGGCAGCGGGCACAGGCUUCUCCUCGCUCUGCCCCAGGCUGGCCUGCAAGUCUGUGUCUACGUUUUCUAGGAAAACAGAAUGAAAUUAAGGCUAAUAACUAUUCCCAGUGAAGAUGAAAAGCCUAAGUGUUUUGGCUUUUGGGGUUUUUUUUUUGAGGAUGGUUCAAACCAUACCUAGAGCUAUAAAGAAGAAACCAACAAUUACCAGCCAUCUGGCAGCCACUAUCCAGAAUCAACCACUGUUAAUGUUUUGCCAUAUUUGUCCCCAGAUCUUUUUCUGUGUACGUUCCUUUCUAAAUUACAGAAAUAUAUGAAGACAUAAAUAUUUUAAAUGAGAACAUUACAGAUAAGCUCUAGGUCCGUCUUCCCUGAUGGUCCAGUGGUUAAGACUCCGCGUCCCCAAUGCAGGGGGCCCGUCACAAUAUCUGGUCAGGGAACUAGAUCCCACACACAUGCUGCAGCUAAAAGCACUAGGUCGCUGACCACCGCUCCACCUCUGUGGGUCUCCUCUCCCUAUACACAGAGGCCCUACUACUAGUUGUGUGCAUUCCUCUAGUCCAUUUGUUUUAUGUAUAUUUUGUGUAUUUUAUUUCCAGCAAAUUACAUAGAAUAGUGUUUUUGUUGUAUUUAACAUAAAUAAUAUCAAUUUUUUCUUUUUUAACUUUUGGACAUUUACCCCCACUUACACACAUGGUCAUGAUCCACCUUGCUUAAAUAAUUGCUUUAUGGUAUGUACAGAGUAUAUAUGAUUAAGCCUCUACGGAUAGCAAAAAAUUGAAACUAAUCCAACCAUUCCAAAACUGUAAUGCGCACACUCUGGAACGUGUGCCCACGGGGACACGAGCUGUCAUCUUCAAUUUGAGCAGAUUACACACCACCUUCCCCAGUGGCUGUACAGGUUCUACCCCACUGC
Lagenorhynchus albirostris (white-beaked dolphin) is the source of this 3758-nucleotide RNA transcript. It is a transcript of the gene named armadillo repeat containing 7, with no coding region annotated. The transcript is spliced from 5 exons. Lineage: Eukaryota; Metazoa; Chordata; Mammalia; Artiodactyla; Delphinidae. The record is from RefSeq and is a predicted model, not a curated record.